AUACAUGCAAGUCGAGCGGACAGAAGGGAGCUUGCUCCCGGAUGUUAGCGGCGGACGGGUGAGUAACACGUGGGUAACCUGCCUGUAAGACUGGGAUAACUCCGGGAAACCGGAGCUAAUACCGGAUAGUUCCUUGAACCGCAUGGUUCAAGGAUGAAAGACGGUUUCGGCUGUCACUUACAGAUGGACCCGCGGCGCAUUAGCUAGUUGGUGAGGUAACGGCUCACCAAGGCGACGAUGCGUAGCCGACCUGAGAGGGUGAUCGGCCACACUGGGACUGAGACACGGCCCAGACUCCUACGGGAGGCAGCAGUAGGGAAUCUUCCGCAAUGGACGAAAGUCUGACGGAGCAACGCCGCGUGAGUGAUGAAGGUUUUCGGAUCGUAAAGCUCUGUUGUUAGGGAAGAACAAGUGCAAGAGUAACUGCUUGCACCUUGACGGUACCUAACCAGAAAGCCACGGCUAACUACGUGCCAGCAGCCGCGGUAAUACGUAGGUGGCAAGCGUUGUCCGGAAUUAUUGGGCGUAAAGGGCUCGCAGGCGGUUUCUUAAGUCUGAUGUGAAAGCCCCCGGCUCAACCGGGGAGGGUCAUUGGAAACUGGGAAACUUGAGUGCAGAAGAGGAGAGUGGAAUUCCACGUGUAGCGGUGAAAUGCGUAGAGAUGUGGAGGAACACCAGUGGCGAAGGCGACUCUCUGGUCUGUAACUGACGCUGAGGAGCGAAAGCGUGGGGAGCGAACAGGAUUAGAUACCCUGGUAGUCCACGCCGUAAACGAUGAGUGCUAAGUGUUAGGGGGUUUCCGCCCCUUAGUGCUGCAGCUAACGCAUUAAGCACUCCGCCUGGGGAGUACGGUCGCAAGACUGAAACUCAAAGGAAUUGACGGGGGCCCGCACAAGCGGUGGAGCAUGUGGUUUAAUUCGAAGCAACGCGAAGAACCUUACCAGGUCUUGACAUCCUCUGACAACCCUAGAGAUAGGGCUUUCCCUUCGGGGACAGAGUGACAGGUGGUGCAUGGUUGUCGUCAGCUCGUGUCGUGAGAUGUUGGGUUAAGUCCCGCAACGAGCGCAACCCUUGAUCUUAGUUGCCAGCAUUCAGUUGGGCACUCUAAGGUGACUGCCGGUGACAAACCGGAGGAAGGUGGGGAUGACGUCAAAUCAUCAUGCCCCUUAUGACCUGGGCUACACACGUGCUACAAUGGACAGAACAAAGGGCUGCGAGACCGCAAGGUUUAGCCAAUCCCACAAAUCUGUUCUCAGUUCGGAUCGCAGUCUGCAACUCGACUGCGUGAAGCUGGAAUCGCUAGUAAUCGCGGAUCAGCAUGCCGCGGUGA
This 1330-nucleotide ribosomal RNA is filed under the name Bacillus sp. 21cp. RNAcentral describes it as "bacterial SSU rRNA". It matches the Rfam family "Bacterial small subunit ribosomal RNA", at positions 51 to 1365 of the family's 1533-position model. Lineage: Bacteria; Bacillati; Bacillota; Bacilli; Caryophanales; Bacillaceae. The record is from RNAcentral. RNAcentral also lists the same sequence under 1 other name.